CUACGGGCGGCUGCAGUGGGGAAUAUUGCACAAUGGGCGCAAGCCUGAUGCAGCCAUGCCGCGUGUGUGAAGAAGGCCUUCGGGUUGUAAAGCACUUUCAGCGGGGAGGAAGGCGGUGAGGUUAAUAACCUCAUCGAUUGACGUUACCCGCAGAAGAAGCACCGGCUAACUCCGUGCCAGCAGCCGCGGUAAUACGGAGGGUGCAAGCGUUAAUCGGAAUUACUGGGCGUAAAGCGCACGCAGGCGGUCUGUCAAGUCGGAUGUGAAAUCCCCGGGCUCAACCUGGGAAGUGCAUUCGAAACUGGCAGGCUAGAGUCUUGUAGAGGGGGGUAGAAUUCCAGGUGUAGCGGUGAAAUGCGUAGAGACCUGGAGGAAUACCGGUGGCGAAGGCGGCCCCCUGGACAAAGACUGACGCUCAGGUGCGAAAGCGUGGGGAGCAAACAGGAUUAGAUACCCGUGUAGUC
RNAcentral lists this ribosomal RNA (464 nucleotides) under uncultured Klebsiella sp. RNAcentral's name for it is "bacterial SSU rRNA". It matches the Rfam family "Bacterial small subunit ribosomal RNA", at positions 339 to 795 of the family's 1533-position model. Lineage: Bacteria; Pseudomonadati; Pseudomonadota; Gammaproteobacteria; Enterobacterales; Enterobacteriaceae. The record is from RNAcentral.